GGGGCUGUAGCUCAGUGGUACAGUGCUUGCCUUGCAUGUAUGGGCACUGGGUUCAAUCCUCAGCACCACA
Molecule: transfer RNA, 70 nt
Filed under: Marmota monax (woodchuck)
Lineage: Eukaryota; Metazoa; Chordata; Mammalia; Rodentia; Sciuridae
Description: tRNA.Ala
Rfam family: tRNA
About the family: Transfer RNA (tRNA) molecules are approximately 80 nucleotides in length. Their secondary structure includes four short double-helical elements and three loops (D, anti-codon, and T loops).
Source: RNAcentral